This 254-nucleotide ribosomal RNA is filed under the name uncultured bacterium. Its description in RNAcentral is "partial 16S ribosomal RNA". It matches the Rfam family "Bacterial small subunit ribosomal RNA", at positions 524 to 776 of the family's 1533-position model. The record is from RNAcentral.
UACGGGGGGAGCAAGCGUUGUUCGGAUUUACUGGGCGUAAAGGGCGCGUAGGCGGCCAGCACAAGUCAGUUGUGAAAUCUCCGAGCUUAACUCGGAACGGUCAACUGAUACUGUGCGGCUAGAGUGCGGAAGGGGCAACUGGAAUUCUCGGUGUAGCGGUGAAAUGCGUAGAUAUCGAGAGGAACACCGGUGGCGAAGGCGGCAUCCUGGACCAACACUGACGCUGAGGAGCGAAAGCCAGGGGAGCAAACGGG